GUAGGGUGCGAGCGUUAAUCGGAAUUACUGGGCGUAAAGCGUGCGCAGGCGGUUCGCUAAGACCGAUGUGAAAUCCCCGGGGCUUAACCUGGGAACUGCAUUGGUGACUGGCGGGCUAGAGUAUGGCAGAGGGGGUAGAAUUCCACGUGUAGCAGUGAAAUGCGUAGAGAUGUGGAGGAAUACCGAUGGCGAAGGCAGCCCCCUGGGCCAAUACUGACGCUCAUGCACGAAAGCGUGGGGAGCAAACAGGAUUAGAUACCCUGGUAGUCCACGCCCUAAACGAUGUCAACUAGUUGUCGGGUCUUCAUUGACUUGGUAACGUAGCUAACGCGUGAAGUUGACCGCCUGGGGAGUACGGUCGCAAGAUUA
This 369-nucleotide ribosomal RNA is filed under the name uncultured organism. Its description in RNAcentral is "partial 16S ribosomal RNA". It matches the Rfam family "Bacterial small subunit ribosomal RNA", at positions 527 to 896 of the family's 1533-position model. The record is from RNAcentral.